CCCUUAGAUGUUCUGGGCCGCACGCGCGCUACACUGACUGGUGCAACAAGUGUCGCUCCUUGGCCGAUAGGCCUGGGCAAUCUUUGAACGCCAGUCGUGAUGGGGAUAGAUUCUUGCAAUUUUUGAUCUUCAACGAGGAAUUCCUAGUAAACGCGAGUCAUCAACUCGCAUUGAUUACGUCCCUGCCCUUUGUACACACCGCCCGUCGCACCUACCGAUUGAAUGGUCCGGUGAAGCCUCGGGAUUGUGGCUGGUCUCCUUUAUUGGGGGUUGGUCGCGAGAACUUGUCUAAACCUUAUCAUUUAGAGGAAGGUGAAGUCGUAACA
Molecule: ribosomal RNA, 326 nt
Filed under: uncultured eukaryote
Lineage: Eukaryota
Description: partial 18S ribosomal RNA
Rfam family: Eukaryotic small subunit ribosomal RNA
Source: RNAcentral